This 350-nucleotide unclassified non-coding RNA is filed under the name soil metagenome. RNAcentral describes it as "partial contains 5.8S ribosomal RNA, internal transcribed spacer 2, and large subunit ribosomal RNA". The stretch from base 1 to 120 matches the Rfam family "5.8S ribosomal RNA", at positions 35 to 154 of the family's 154-position model. The record is from RNAcentral.
GAUGAAGAACGUAGUGAAAUGCGAUAAGUAAUGUGAAUUGCAGAAUUCAGUGAAUCAUCGAGUCUUUGAACGCACAUUGCGCCCCCUGGUAUUCCGGGGGGCAUGCCUGUCCGAGCGUCAUUGCUGCCCUCAAGCACGGCUUGUGUGUUGGGCCUCCGUCCUCCUCCCGGGGGACGGGCCCGAAAGGCAGCGGCGGCACCGCGUCCGGUCCUCGAGCGUAUGGGGCUUUGUCACCCGCUCUGCAGGCCCGGCCGGCGCUGGCCGACGCGAAAGCAACCAUUUUUUCUCCAGGUUGACCUCGGAUCAGGUAGGGAUACCCGCUGAACUUAAGCAUAUCAAUAAGCGGAGGA